Molecule: long non-coding RNA, 788 nt
Filed under: Equus caballus (horse)
Lineage: Eukaryota; Metazoa; Chordata; Mammalia; Perissodactyla; Equidae
Description: lncRNA (ENSECAG00000050422.1)
Source: RNAcentral
CCCGCGUCCCCUCCGCGCCGCCCGGGAGCGACGCCCACCUGUUUGCCCAGAUCCUGCCAUUUCCAAGGCAAGAAACCUGUAGCCCCGAAGGGUGACCAGGCCCCACCCGGGGCACACACCCUGCUCGGAUUACGUGGCCUGAGGGGCAGCUGCGGGUGAAGCCCCAAGGGCCGGGCGAGGUAGCCUGCGGCGCAAGCCUACCGCCGGGAUGCAGCCGCCCCGGGCGCCCGCUCCAGGAAAAGGCGCCGGAGCCGCUCCUCCCAGCGCCCCAGCCCACCCAGCGCCCUCCGGACAAGUCCCAAGCACAUGGCCUGAACGAGUGAGACUGAGAUGCCAAGUCGGGUUCGAGGAGUUGGGAAGAGGGGAGAGAAAGGGUGGAAGAGGGAAGAUGGAAAGAAAGAGGAGCCCAGAGCUCAGAGGAGUGAAAGGAUUGCUUUGUAAACAGAAGCGCAAACUCGUUCCGAUAGUGGUUCCGCACCAGUGCGCGGCGGCCGCCCUGGCACAGCAGGCGGCCGAGGCUGCGGCUGCACCUGUCGCCUGAGGCCAGGAGGGACCCGGGCCGCGCGUGGAGGGGAAGCACCGAGCCGGGUCGCGGACCUCCGGCCUCCGGGGCAUCUCUAGGUUCUUGGCCUUUGGGCCUUCUGGCUUGCUGCGCUGUACCCUGUUGCUCCAAGAACUCUCCUGCACGCCAGGGAGGCGCCGCGGUGGACACUUGUCAGGGUCACCAGGCCUCCCUUCUGGACUCUCCCUGGGCACCUUUAGUAAAAGCCCAGGAUGCCCACACUGAG